UAUCACUCAAUACAGAUGAUCAAUCCGUUCCAGAUGUCAAAGAGGAGCUUGAGACCGUGACAAAAAAAUACAAAGCACUGAAGAAAAACACACAUGAAGGAACAUCACCAGUCAGUGCUGAUCAACCCGGCCCGUCAUCUGCACAGGUUUACCUGAUGCAGAGAAACAGCUGAGGCCUGUUUAACCACUGAGGGU
This is a non-coding RNA of Labrus bergylta (ballan wrasse), 195 nucleotides long. The record is from RefSeq and is a predicted model, not a curated record. NCBI's taxonomy places the organism in Eukaryota, Metazoa, Chordata, Actinopteri, Labriformes, Labridae.